CGGCGAGUGAAGCGGCAACAGCUCAAAUUUGAAAUCUGGCCCCUCGGGCCCGAGUUGUAAUUUGUAGAGGAUGCUUCGGGCGUGGUCCGGUCUAAGUUCCUUGGAACAGGACGUCGUAGAGGGUGAGAAUCCCGUAUGCGACCGGGUGCCUAGGCCUGUGUGAAGCUCCUUCGACGAGUCGGGUUGUUUGGGAAUGCAGCUCAAAAUGGGUGGUAAAUUUCAUCUAAAGCUAAAUACCGGCCAGAGACCGAUAGCGCACAAGUAGAGUGAUCGAAAGAUGAAAAGCACUUUGGAAAGAGAGUUAAAUAGUACGUGAAAUUGUUGAAAGGGAAGCGCUUGCGACCAGACUUGCGUGCGCCCGAUCAUCCGGCGUUCUCGCCGGUGCACUCGGCGCACACAGGCCAGCAUCAGUUCUGGCGGCUAGACAAAGGCCCUGGGAAUGUGUCUUCCUUCGGGGAGUGUUAUAGCCCUCGGUGCAAUAUAGCCCACUGGGACUGAGGACCGCGCUCCGGCUAGGAUGCUGGCGUAAUGGUCGUAAGCGACCCGUCUUGAAACACGGACCAAGGAGUGGAAUAUCUAUGCGAGUGUUCGGGUGUUAAACCCCUGCGCGGAAUGAAAGUGAACGGAGGUGAGAGCCCUUCAGGGUGCAUCAUCGACCGAUCCUGAUGUCUUCGGAUGGAUUUGAGUAAGAGCAUAGCUAUUUCGACCCGAAAGAUGGUGAUCUAUACCUGAAUAGGGUGAAGCCAGAGGAAACUCUGGUGGAGGCUCGCAGCGGUUCUGACGUGCAAAUCGAUCGUCAAAUUUGGGUAUAGGGUACGUAUUAUUUUUCUUUUCUAUAGUAAGCCAAAGCCUAUUUAGAUAGUCGAUAAGACUCAUAGGAACAAGCAGUCUCAUAUGAUAUGUGGGUGUGCUGGAGAGGCCUGCUAUGCAGUAGACUUGACAGGACGACUGAGUAGGACGGGUAUUUGUGAAUGUUCUAAGGGGUCUUUAUAAUUAUAUCUAACCUUAUGUUUAGAAUGUCUUUUAUAUAUAGGCUUUGGCUUGCUGUAAUUCUCAACUAGUUUAGAGGAGCAAAUAGCUAAUAGUGCACUAC
RNAcentral lists this ribosomal RNA (1093 nucleotides) under Microglossum olivaceum. RNAcentral's name for it is "eukaryotic LSU rRNA". It matches the Rfam family "Eukaryotic large subunit ribosomal RNA", at positions 87 to 1035 of the family's 3401-position model. The record is from RNAcentral. Lineage: Eukaryota; Fungi; Ascomycota; Leotiomycetes; Helotiales.